CGCUGGCGGCGUGCUUCAUACAUGCAAGUCGAACGAGAAGUCACUUCGGGUGAUGGAAAGUGGCGGACGGGUGAGUAAUGUGUAGAGAAUCUGCCCUUGAGUGGGGGACAACAGUUGGAAACGACUGGCUAAUACCCCCAUAUGAGCUUAGCUGAAAUGCUAAUCUUGAAAACUCCGGUGCUCAAGGAUGAGUCUGCAUCUGAUUAGCUAGUUGGCGGUGUAAUGGACCACCAAGGCUACGAUCAGUAGCUGGUUUGAGAGGAUGAUCAGCCACAAUGGGACUGAGACACGGUCCAAACUCCUACGGGAGGCAGCAGUGGGGAAUAUUGCACAAUGGGCGAAAGCCUGAUGCAGCAACGCCGCGUGAGCGAUGAAGGCCUUCGGGUCGUAAAGCUCUGUCCUCAAGGAAGAUAAUGACGGUACUUGAGGAGGAAGCCCCGGCUAACUACGUG
RNAcentral lists this ribosomal RNA (452 nucleotides) under uncultured bacterium. RNAcentral describes it as "bacterial SSU rRNA". It matches the Rfam family "Bacterial small subunit ribosomal RNA", at positions 34 to 507 of the family's 1533-position model. The record is from RNAcentral.